AGCAGCCGCGGUAAUUCCAGCUCCAAUAGCGUAUAUUAAAGUUGUUGCAGUUAAAAAGCUCGUAGUUGAAUUUCGGAAUCUGUCCGUUGGUCGGGCUUCGCGGUCCGUACUGGCGUGGUGGGUUCUUACCUUCUGAAUAACCAGCAUGCCAUUAAUUUGGUGCGUUGGGGAAGCAGGACUAUUACCUUGAAAAAAUUAGAGUGCUCAAAGCAGGCUAGUGCCUGAAUACAUUAGCAUGGAAUAAUAGAAUAGGACGGCAUGGUUCUAUUUUGUUGGUUUCUAGGAUCACCGUAAUGAUUAAUAGGGAUAGUUGGGGGCAUUAGUAUUCAAUUGUCAGAGGUGAAAUUCUUGGAUUUAUUGAAGACUAACUUCUGCGAAAGCAUUUGCCAAGGAUGUUUUCAUUAAUCAAGAACGAAAGUUAGGGGAUCGAAGACGAUCAGAUACCGUCGUAGUCUUAACCAUAAACUAUGCCGACUAGGGAUCGGACGAUGUUAAUUUUUAAUGACUCGUUCGGCGCCUU
Molecule: ribosomal RNA, 520 nt
Filed under: uncultured Acaulospora
Lineage: Eukaryota; Fungi; Glomeromycota; Glomeromycetes; Diversisporales; Acaulosporaceae
Description: SSU rRNA
Rfam family: Eukaryotic small subunit ribosomal RNA
Source: RNAcentral